Molecule: unclassified non-coding RNA, 357 nt
Filed under: Sparassis crispa
Lineage: Eukaryota; Fungi; Basidiomycota; Agaricomycetes; Polyporales; Sparassidaceae
Description: sequence contains ITS1, 5.8S rRNA gene
Rfam family: 5.8S ribosomal RNA (bases 201-354)
Source: RNAcentral
UCGAGUUCAGAAGCGAGGUUGUAGCUGGCCUUCUCGGAGGCAUCGUGCACGCCUCGCCCGUCCCAUAUCAUACCUGUGAACUUUUUGGUAGGCGGGUUUGUGUCGGCCUCGAAAGGGGUCGACCGGCCCUCCGGCCGUCUUUAUAUACACACCAUACGAAGUCUUUAGAAUGUUUGUGCGUCUCGACGCAUCUUAUAUAUAACUUUCAGCGACGGAUCUCUUGGCUCUCGCAUCGAUGAAGAACGCAGCGAAACGCGAUAAGUAAUGUGAAUUGCAGAAUUCAGUGAAUCAUCGAAUCUUUGAACGCACCUUGCGCUCCUCGGUAUUCCGAGGAGCAUGCCUGUUUGAGUGUCAUGA